ACAAGAUGCGCGCUGUGCUAUUGGCCGUGACUAGAGGCGCGCAGAGAUGACGUAAGGGAUCGCUGUUCAACUUCGGUACUUGGGAGGAUCGCUUGGACACCAUUGGGAAAAGCCAUUGAAAAGGUCGUAAGACUGCAGUUCAUUCAGAAGAAAGGAACAGAGCUAAUUAAUCGAGAAAAUGCCUCCUCUUGAUACUGAUGUACUGAACUAUUGCAGUCUACAGAUCUACAGCCGACUUGCGGAAAUUAUUGGCCUUGGUAAUAGAGAAUUCAUUACCCACCCUGCCUUAGUUGUAAAGCAGGUGUUGUGUGACCACAUGAAAGAGAUCGAGGCCUCUUUAAAGGAAGCACAGAAGAAGGGUCGGUUACAACAUAAAAUUUCUCAAGUAAAUGGAAAAUAAGUGAAAUUCUCACAGAAUGCAGAGGAAAAGGCCAAAGAAAUAAGAUAAGGAAAGAAGAGAAAAGGAGAGAUGUAGAGGGCUUGUCCAGGAGAUACAAUCUACGUGUAAUAGGAAAACCUGAAAGAGAGUACAAAGCAAAUGAAGCUGAAACAAUAAUUACAGAGCUAAUUGAAGAAAAUUUUCCAGAGUUGAAGAACGAAGUAGACCUGAAAAUGAAGAAGGCUCACAGGGUACCUUUAAAAUUUAAGUAGAAGAAAGCAACACCUAGCCAUGUCCUUGUGACUUUUAAAUUUCAAGCAUAAAGAAAAAAAUUUGCAAGUAUCCAGAGAAAACAGGUUACAUAUAAAGGGGCAAAAGUCAGACUGACCUCAGAUUUUUCUCUUACAAUUCUAAAUACCAAAAAACAAUGGAACAUUUACAGAAUUUUAAGGGAAAAUAAUUUUGAACCAAGAAUUAUAUACCCUUCCAAAUUAGUAUUUGUGUAUGAAGGCAACUGGAAGACAUUCUCAGAUACUAAGGGGUUAAGAAAGUAUAUCGGCAGGGCCGGGGUUUCAGUGGCACCGCUCCUGCCUCGAAAGUGGAAGGUCCUGACUUCGAUCCUCAGUACCAAAAAAAUAUAUAUACCAACAAAGAACCUCCUCUGAAAACUUUUAUGAACGAUUUACUGCAUCCAACAGAAAAAUUAAAUAGGAUAGGGGGGAUAAUUGUAAGGACAAUUUAAUGACUAAAACUAAUUAAGAAUAUGAAAUCUAAAAUUGUUACAUUUAGGGUAAUAAACCUAAAUGCUAAAUGGAUUUGUAAGCUAGAUCUAAAAUUUUCAGUUUAUAUAGUUUUAAAUUGUCAAAAUGCAUACCGAAUAGUCAGUGUCAAUAAAUGUCUUAUUUUUAUUUUAUGUAUUUAUUUAUUUAUUUAUCUUGGUGCGAGGAUCAAACUCAGGAUCUUGCAGUUGCGAGGCAGGCAGGGCGCCACUGAGCUAAAUCCCCGGUCUAAUAGUGCUUUAUUUUUGCUGUGUAAUACAAAGAUGGAUGUUAAGCCAAAUGUAUGUUAAAUAGAAGUGCCAGGACAAGUAUAGAAAAGACAUUCUAAAUGUUAAGCUGAAGCAAUUGGAAAGUAGUAGUUUUAGUUCCUUAAAAACUAACAAGUUCAUAAUGUUAAUACUAAUAAUGUAAGGAGAAAAUUUCCAAAGCCCUUGUUGGAGAGGGGUGGAUAUGUUUGAAAUGCUGAUUGGUUUGUAGAAGUCAAUUUGUCAUUAAGUUGUGGACAAAAAUAGAGUAUAUACAUUCCAGGUUUCUGGAACAGAAAACAAGUGAAAACCCAAGGAAAAGUAGCAAAAGAAAAAUACCAAGUGUUAAAAUUUACGUAACAGGUAUUGACAGAAAUAGAGUUAAACUCACAAACUGGUUAAAUUUCCAAUUAAUAAGAUCUAAAUUGAAUAACAGAAGUCAAUCUCUGAUUUAGAUACUCACAUUUGUAUAAAACAAAGGUUAAAGGGGUUUAAAGGGAAUAGAAACUCUUUUAUCCUUAGGUCUCUAUGCCACCAAGGGAUUCAAUGUAAUACAUAAUUUGAAGCUGAUUUUAGUUCCUGAUCCCAACAUCCCGUGGAAAGAAAAAUCAUUCUGCAUGAAUGUUAUUGACUAUUUCUCAAUUUGGUAAAAUUUGAGGAAUUUAAGUGAAUAAAAUUAACAAAGGGUAAGAAAAAUUACAAAUUGGGGUGGUAUGCUUCUGCCACCCCUUCUCUCACAUACCAUCCCGUACAUACUAAAACAGAGGCAAGAAUAUUGACAGUAAUGACUUGAAACUUUGACAACCUGUGAAAAAUAAAUCUUACUUGUAUAUUCUAAGUACACUUUGGGCCAGAUGUAAAUUGUAUUAGUUGAAUUUCAUGAUUUGCUUGUUCCCUUACUCCUUUGCAAAAACAGUUUUGGCUUCACUUUUCCAAAUGUACGGCUCUCCCUGUUUAUCUUCCAUCUUCAAAACAUUUCCUCCUAGUGCACCAGGGAUUGUGAUCAGAGAUCCUUCAUUGUAUUGCUGCCAGUAAACUGCUUCGUAUUUAGGGAAUAAACAUGGAGUAAAAGAUAACAAGGAAGUAAGGUUAUAGAGGAAACUGAGCAGUUGGAAACAAUAUGAUUAGAAGAUCACAAUUUAUAACGAUAAGUUGUAGCUAGGGUUCAAAUAAGAAAUAGGGAAAUUCUGUUGAAAAUCAACUCCAUUGUUUCUUGUAAUAAUUACUUCUUGCCCCAACAAAUUACAAUAGUAUGGAUGAUGCACCAGCUAAUAAAAUUUUCAUAGUAGAACUGUUAUUUAUGUAGGGAUUCAUGUUACACUGGACUUUCACUUGGUUAAAAAAAGAUUUUGGGGGCUGGAGAUUCAGCUCAGUGGUGCUGCCGCCUGUCUCGCAAGCGCAAGGUCCGGAGUUUGAUCCCUGGUACCAAAAAAAAAAAAAAAAAUCCGAUUUUUACUUCAAUCAGUAUAGCUAUCAGUAGGAAAAAGAAAAUUUUAAUUGUGUUAUUUUGUCAAGGGCUGAAAGCCUUAGGACAUGUAAUUUUGGCGUUGCAUUUCUGCUAGCAUUUUGAUUAAAUUGAAACUAGGUAAUUAGUGGUGCCUGUUUUGAUUAACAAGGUAAGUGGAAUUAAGAAUAAAAAGCCCUGGGAAAGGGGGGAAAAAAACACAUGAAAGAGUUUCAACAUUUUCAUAGUUGUUUUUUUUUUUAAAGAAAAAUGUAUAAAUACAAGCUACAAAUUACAAUAUUUAGAUUCCUUAUUAAAGAUAAGCUGUAAAUUAUCAAAGAGAAAAAGUGAAGAUUAUAUCAUUAGUUUUAACAGUAUUAAAGUUUCCAUUAUAAUCAUUUGUCCACUUAAUAUUGUUCUUAAACAUGUUUCUUCAGAUAAUUCCAGUGUUUUAUCCAUGUAUAGUAGUUACUUUUUUCUUUUACUAUAUAAGUUAUCCUUAAAAUAGUACAUGAAAAUAUUUUCUUUCAUAGUAUUUACUUGUUAUAUUUAACAUUACUAAUUAUUUGUAAAUGAAGUGUUUUCUUUUUAUGAGUGUGUUACAUUUCCCAAUUCCAGGCCCCAGAUAGGACCACUGUGAAUACAUCCACUUAUUAAUACUAUAAUAGAAAUAACAACAGCUUGAUCCUUAGCAGCAAUAUUAGUUUGCUUGGCCUGGAGAAACAAAUUACCAAAAGCUGAAUGGUUUAAAAUAAAACAAAUUGGAUCUUCUCAUCAUUCGGACAGCCAAAGUAAUCAAGGUGUAGACAAGGCUGUGCUCCCUCUGAAAGCACUAGGGCUCUAAGACUUACCAUUUCUCUUCCUUAAAUUUUUUUGGCUCUUUUGUUUCUAGGUGAAAAUUGUGACUAGUGACUUAAGGCCUUCUUUCUUAUAUAAGGAGUUUCAUAGUAUAAUUAUUUGGUCAGGAUUACUUUAUCCUACAAAUGUUGAUAAAUGUCUUCACAUUUUUUUAAUUCAGCAUACUUUGUAAUUUCUCUUGAUUUCUUGUUUAAUACAUGAGUCAUUUAGAACGUGGCAUUGUUUAAAGGUAAAUACUUUUGACCUGUUUUCAGAUUGUAGUUCCAAAAAAUAAAGAGUUCCUGUGAACACUUCAGGCCGCUUGAUGGUAUAUGAUCAAAACCAAGAAAUUGUCUGAUACAAUAUCACUAACCAUAAAGCUUAUUUAGAUUUCACUGUUUUUAUAAACAUAUGUUUUGUGUGUUUAUGGGACAAUUCUAUGAAAUUUUACUACGUGUAGAAUUGUGUAAGCACCGCCAAAAUCAGGGCACAUAGCCAUAUGAAAGAACAUAUCCUGAUAAGGCUGCUUAGCCCUGAAUUUAGGUGAUCUCAUCUCCCCUCAAGACUGAAGACACCAAGAUGAGAGGUUUACAGGGACAUGUUGCUACACUAGAUGCCUGGAACCAUUUUCCUAAAUCUGGGAUCACCUAGAUUCUGGAGAAUGGAGAAAGCCCAUAUGACUAAGACCACCACAGAUAAACAAUCCUUUCCUAGAAAUGAAAGCAUCCCUCAGCCAUAAAGAUUCCAGAACGGCAGGACAGAGAUAAUGAUCAACUGGACCCCAGCUAAUUCUUGAAAACUGUCCACUUACCUUUACCAGUGGGCCACUCUGAACCCUGUGUCACAGUGUGCCUCUUCCACCUACUUAAGCUGGAGUCCUUCCCUAUCUUCUAACUUUCCAAUUAAAUCUUUUCCCCUCUGUGGUUUUAAUUUCUGUUUCUACUAAAGCCAGGACCCAGGCUAGCCAGCAACACAACUUUAGUAAUUAGAGAAAAAUGUAAAGUACCAUUAUUAUUACCAGAUUAAAAAGUUAUUUAUUGCAAGCAGUAGUAGCUGAAAUAUUAGUUUACUAUAAAAAGUAUUAAAGUAGUACACGAAUGAUUAUCUUUUUAAAGUUUAAAUUCAAAAGUGAAAUAUUGUUUAAUAAAUUACAAUGCAUACUUCUAAAAUAUAAGAACUGUAACACUAGAGAAAAACUGUAUUAGAUAUUAGCAAAUAGAAUUAUAAAGACUAUUUUUCAAAGGUUGUGUUUUUAGCUGAGCAUGGUGGUACGCACCUGUAAUCCCAGUAUUCUGGAGACUGAGGCAGGAGGAUCACUGCAAGCUUAAAGCCAGCAUGGACUACACAGUGAGUUCAGGGGCAUCUAGAAUAUAUAGCAAAGCCCUGCCUUAAAAAAAAAAAGUAUUUUUAGUAGAGAGAAGAAUCUUGUUAACCCUCCACAGUACAGCCCUGAAUAAAAGGCUGAGGUAACAAGUAAAUGCCUGUGGAAUGUUAAUGUUAGUCCAGCAAAUGGGAGCCAUUUCUUUUGUUCUUAAUGACUUUGUACAGAAAACAAGGUUGGACUUUAAAAAAAUUAAAAUAAAAAAACAAUGGGGAGAACAGAGACAGCUAAUAUAAAUGACCAGAUGCAAAUAACCUCGGGGAAGGGGAAAAGGAGCAAUGAUAAUGUAGAACUGAGGCAGAUGAUCAAAGUGAACAGACUAAUUUUCAGAUUCAAAAGCAGAUCAUCCGAAAAGAAUUGAAAAAGAUAGGCUCUGACAGACUGUGACUAAAAAUAAUUAGAUUAAGGGUUUACUUCCAUCUGAUAAGGUCAUAUUUCUCAGUUAUGCUAUCUCCAUAUAAGGAGGUAAAUCGUGUUUAAUGACAAAGGACUUGGGCUCAGUCGGAAUUCUAAUUGGAAUUCCAGUUCUAACACUUCAGGCUAGUAACAUGGUGAGCAACCAAUCUGAUAUCUCACAGUUUCAGUAUCUACCUCAGCAAAGUGUGUAGAAAAGUAGUACCUGCUUCAAGGAUAAAUGGACAUGUUUCCCAUUUCUGCAGCUAACGCUGCAGGACUUUCUUGAAUUUAAGCCAACUUCACAACAACCUAUGGAGCCCUUUCAAGCCUUUUCUCCUCGGGAGUUAGACGUGUGUCUCUGUAUCUCUGAUUAUUCACUUCCAACUCCAUCUGCUAAAAUACUGCUCUUCUAAUAAUUUCACUUCUUCCUAGAUUCCAUUGCUGCUGUACUUCGCCUGCAAGAUAGGAUGCUUUAGAGUACUGAUGUGAUCUGAAACAAGCUUCAGUUUUCCUUGGCCAUUUGGACAAUGCCAACCUACCUCUACAGGAGCCUGCCCUCUGCUCAUAUCAGUUUGCCAACUCAUUCUUGCUAGCUUCUGAUACCUUGCUUUUCCUUUUCAAACUUAUUAAUAUUUCUCAUGUUCCUCAAAGCCAAGCCAGCCUGAGUUAUGGUAUAGAAAACAUGGGGAUGUUAAGAUAAGAAAUUGGGCCUUGGAUGUCAUAUGGCGCAACAGUAUUAUUUGCCCUACUUACUUAUUGCACAGGUUUACUGUGAAGUGGGAGUCUAUAUACAAAGUAUAUUUUAAACUAUAAAUUGUAAAAUUAUGACAGCUGAAAUUCCUCUUUUGUUUCCAGUUCUGUCUGACUUUCCAGUCAUCUUUUUUCUCCCUGAUGUGGCUACAUCACUAUAUUUCUCCUCUCUCAUUUUCUUACUCCUUUAUCCUCUUUCUUAUCUUCUAUUCUCACUACCUCCCUCCCUCUUUUAUGCCCUAUCAUCCAGUCUCCAGUACCUCCCUCCUCCCUGGGAGGUUAGUGCCUCUCAGAUACCAGCUGUCACCCUAGUUCCUGUCCUCUCCCUGGCGAGUGUUGGGAUGGGACUAGAAGUCAAGGCUUGGGACACACACCAAAGAUUGAACCAGGACCUUGUGCACGAUAACCAAGCACGUUACCACAACUCAUUCCCCACCCCGCUGCUGCAACAAAUUUAAUGGCAGAAUGGAAAUUGUACUGGCGUCACUGGGUGGGGGAGUGGGGGCCUGCGGGCGCCCUGCGCUCUACCUGGGUUUGGGGCAGGUGCGGUUUGCCCUGUGCAGGACUGGGGCAGGCAGGAGUCGGGCCUGGUCUCAGCUUAAGGUGACAGCGCGUUUUCCUGUCCCGAACUUGGCAGUCCGCACGGCGCGCUCUCAGGAGGAGGUUCGAGGUCUGUAUCUUCGGGGAGAUCCGCGCCCGGAGGAGCCCAACUUCUCCGUGUAGCACAAGGGCAGAAAGGCGAGCCCUCCUACUCUGUCCCCGUCCUCUUUCCUCUUUUGUCAUGCCGUCGCCAUGUAUUCUUGUUUCUGCAGCACAGAACGGGCCCGGGAGCCACACUGGCCAGGCAGGCUCUGGGCUGAGGCCGACGCACACCUUCCCUGUCCCCACACGCGGUGCCAGAGCAACAGCACCGGCGCCUUUCAGCCCCCUAGCGGGCACGUCGCUUAGGCCCACCUCAGCGCAGCGUUGAGCUUUGUGGACGCUGAGGUUUGGGUUUCCAUUUUAGUUCAUAAACAGUUUUGAGGUCUCACUGUAUCUUGGAGGGCGGGUGAUGAGUGACGAAUGGAGAAGGUGGAUGUGCAGCAGGCUUGCUCAGUGCUCCAAGGGGCUCCCAAGGCUCCGUCCAGCUCGGUGACCGCUGUCACACACCAGAGGCCCUGGGGUUGCCUUAGAACUGUGACAUUGCAAGUGUACUGCUUUCCCUGAUGGAAGAAAGAGCCUUUCUGGGGUUUUGUUUUAUUUUAUUUUCUCUUAACCUCCCCAAACCUGGAAGCUGAGCAGGAGAGGCACAGCAGCCCCACCUGGUUCCACCCUAACCGUGGGGGGCGGGGGGGGGGGUUGACUUACUGUCCAACUUUAGGAAAUUAUAAACUAUUAAGAUGUAUAAAAUUAUAUUUUCAAAAUCUGUUUAGUGAUAUAGAAAAAGGAACACAUUUCUAAGUUAAGAAACAGGUCAGAAAACAAAUUUUAUGGAUGUAUUUUGCAUUUGCUUAGAUAAAUGAAUCAAAUACAUGAAAGUAUUUAUAGUGGGUAUCACUGGAUGUUAUGGCUUGUGUCUUGCUGUCCCCCAAAGCCUCAUGCAGUCACAGGUGGGACUUUUUCUGGAAUUGAUUCAUGGUGCAAUUCUAGGUUCAAGGGCACUAGGAUUAAGGGUGUGAGUGCUACUUGCCCUAAGUAGUCUGCAUAAGAUAAAAGGGCCAGAAAGACGCUGUUAAGGCCUCUGUCCUUUUGCUAACUUGUGGCCACCAUGAACUGAGAUACCCCUCUGCCACCCUGCCUUGGAGCCAGCCAAUUAUGGUCAGAAACCUCUACAAACUGUGAGCUGAAUAAACCUUUCCUCUCUUUAACUUUGGGUGUCAGGUAUUUUGUCUCAGCAAUGAGAAAAAAGUAACUAAGACACUAGACAAUGAGAUUAAGGUGGAUUCUAUUGUCUUCUCUAUCCUUUCUUCAUUAUGCAAAUGUUGAAAUACACAAAACACAUUCUUCUGUAAUAAUAGAAAAAGUAGAAAAUGAUUUUGGAUUAAUAAAAACAUCCUCUCCAAAA
Heterocephalus glaber (naked mole-rat) is the source of this 8255-nucleotide long non-coding RNA. RefSeq lists it as uncharacterized. The record is from RefSeq and is a predicted model, not a curated record. NCBI's taxonomy places the organism in Eukaryota, Metazoa, Chordata, Mammalia, Rodentia, Bathyergidae.